CGUAGAUGGCAAGCGUUGUCCGGAUUUAUUGGGCGUAAAGCGAGUGCAGGCGGUUCUUUAAGUCUGAUGUGAAAGCCCCUGGCUUAACCAGGGAGGGUCAUUGGAAACUGGAGGACUUGAGUGCAGAAGAGGAAAGUGGAAUUCCAUGUGUAGCGGUGAAAUGCGUAGAUAUAUGGAGGAACACCAGUGGCGAAGGCGACUUUCUGGUCUGUAACUGACGCUGAGACUCGAAAGCAUGGGGAGCAAACAGGAUU
This 254-nucleotide ribosomal RNA is filed under the name uncultured bacterium. RNAcentral's name for it is "partial 16S ribosomal RNA". It matches the Rfam family "Bacterial small subunit ribosomal RNA", at positions 526 to 779 of the family's 1533-position model. The record is from RNAcentral.